AUCUUAGCCAAAAGGCCGAGAAAGG
Molecule: small nuclear RNA, 25 nt
Filed under: Arabidopsis thaliana (thale cress)
Lineage: Eukaryota; Viridiplantae; Streptophyta; Magnoliopsida; Brassicales; Brassicaceae
Description: snRNA_12865
Source: RNAcentral